UCGAAUAAAAUUCUAGUUAAGUUAUGAUAAUGACAUUUCUUAACUAUGUGUCUUGACCAAAUCACGUGCCAGCAGUCGCGGUAAUACGUGGAAGACUAGUGUUAUUCAUCUUUAACAGGUUUAAAGGGUACCUAGACGGCAAAUCAAGCCCCAAAAGGGGACUAAUUUCUAGAGUUUAAUAAGAGAGGAGUACUGAUGGUGGAGGGAUGAAAUAUUAUGAUACCAUUAGGAACAGACAAAGGCGAAAGCGACCUUUUACAUAAAACUGACGUUGAGGGACGAAGGCUUUAGUCGUGAACAGGAUUAGAUACCCAAGUAAUUAAAGCAGACAAUGAUGAAUGUCAUAGAUUAUAAUCUAUAAAUGAAAGUGUAAGCAUUCCACCUCAAGAGUAAUGUGGCAACGCAGAAACUGAAAUCAUUAGACCGUUUCUGAAACCAGUAGUGAAGUAUGUUGUUUAAUUAGAUAAUCCGCAAAAGACCUCACCACAAUUUGUAUAAUACAAGCGUUGCACGGCUGUCUUCAGUUAAUGUCGUGAGAUUAGGUUAGUUCCAUUAAAUUAACGUAAACCCUUGCUUUAUUUAUAAAGUAGAUCACCGCUAUAUUGGAUGUGAUAAUAGGGACUAAGACAAGUCAUCAUGGCCUUAAUAUUGUGGGCUAUAGACG
RNAcentral lists this ribosomal RNA (664 nucleotides) under Pertusaria subverrucosa. RNAcentral describes it as "SSU rRNA". It matches the Rfam family "Bacterial small subunit ribosomal RNA", at positions 441 to 1222 of the family's 1533-position model. Lineage: Eukaryota; Fungi; Ascomycota; Lecanoromycetes; Pertusariales; Pertusariaceae. The record is from RNAcentral.